GCGGUACCGGUUCACGCUUCCCACAUCUUCCACGGGUCCGCCCAUGGGCGUGCGGAGGCGCCCGGCGACC
RNAcentral lists this non-coding RNA (70 nucleotides) under unclassified sequences. Its description in RNAcentral is "L31-Actinobacteria ribosomal protein leader". It matches the Rfam family "L31-Actinobacteria ribosomal protein leader". The record is from RNAcentral.